CACUCCUGCGGGAGGCAGCAGUGAGGAAUAUUGGACAAUGGGUGGAAGCCUGAUCCAGCCAUCCCGCGUGCAGGAAGACGGCCCUAUGGGUUGUAAACUGCUUUUAUCUGGGGAUAAACCUACUUAUGUGUAAGUAGCUGAAGGUACCAGAAGAAUAAGCACCGGCUAACUCCGUGCCAGCAGCCGCGGUAAUACGGAGGGUGCAAGCGUUAUCCGGAUUUAUUGGGUUUAAAGGGUCCGUAGGCGGACUGAUAAGUCAGUGGUGAAAUCCGACAGCUUAACUGUCGAACUGCCAUUGAUACUGUUAGUCUUGAGUAAGGUUGAAGUGGCUGGAAUAAGUAGUGUAGCGGUGAAAUGCAUAGAUAUUACUUAGAACACCAAUUGCGAAGGCAGGUCACUAAGUCUUAACUGACGCUGAUGGACGAAAGCGUGGGGAGCGAACAGGAUUAGAAACCCUAGUAGUCCCAUG
This 469-nucleotide ribosomal RNA is filed under the name uncultured organism. Its description in RNAcentral is "partial 16S ribosomal RNA". It matches the Rfam family "Bacterial small subunit ribosomal RNA", at positions 334 to 799 of the family's 1533-position model. The record is from RNAcentral.